This 2164-nucleotide long non-coding RNA is filed under the name Canis lupus familiaris (dog). RNAcentral describes it as "lncRNA (ENSCAFG00030007095.1)". Lineage: Eukaryota; Metazoa; Chordata; Mammalia; Carnivora; Canidae. The record is from RNAcentral.
GAUAGUUCCCUCUACCCUAGAUAAGGGUUCAAUAGUCUUAUUUUCCUUUCUAGGGUUACUUACUAGUCUUUACUACACUAAUGCGCCAUAUAUAGCUAUAAAUUGAUUUUUUUGGCCAAAUUUGCUUAAGCAAUUAGUUCAACUAAUUAUGUGACUUAAUCAUUGGUUAACCGAGUGGCUAGUAAAUUCAUGUUAAAAUAACUAAUCAACUGGUUGUUUGCAUAUAAAUAAACACAAUCAUUGGUUGAGAAAAUAUUUUAUCCUUCAUUCUACUGAUUUGGUGCAGAUUCAGCUUCUGAAUGAAGCCAUGGUCAACUGCUAGGGGGGUUGUAAUAAACUCAAGAUAGUUUUUUUUUUUUUUUUUUUUUUUUUAGCACUUUGACUUAAUUUUCAUCUUUCUCCUAGAAACUCUGGCAUCAUGUUUCCAAAGAAGACAGUGUGUUCUGGAUUUCCUUUGUUCACUUCUGGAAGUCAUCAUGAAGAAGGAAAUAGAUUUGGGUUUAUUUUAUACAGAGGAGGAAAUUCUGAAAAAAAAAAAAAGAAGAAAAGAAAAAAGAAGCACAUGUCAAAAGAUAAAAUAGUGCAGCAGAAGGAUUCAUUGCCUAGGUCUGAUAUAGAACUAAUUGUUGGCAGAUGUGGCAAGUAUUUUGAGCCAAGAUAUAGUAUUUGUUUGCACUGUCUGAGUUUUCAGCCUUAACCAAUGUCAGGUCGUUGCAGCUGGUUUCUAUCAAGUCUCUGUAUACCACAGACCAUCCACCUGACAAAACAACAUUUGCUCAUGUGACCUUCGUUCAAAAGCCUUUAAUAUGGGAAUUCGACCAAAGUAAUAGGGAAAUUUUGUUGGAAAUUCCUAAUCAAAUUAGUGAGUGGCUUAAUCUAAUUUUUAUUUACAUGUAAAUGCCCGUUUUAUAAUACACAGGUAACAUAUGUUCCUUUAAAAAAACAAAUUCAUUAAAAUUUAUGGUUUUAGCUCAUCAUGAACUUUAAUUUUGGGCUUAAAAAUUAUGUUAAAUCCUUAUCCUCUACAUAGGCAUCAUUCGUAAAGCAAAGCUUACAAACCACUUUCUAGCUUUAGUGAAAAAGAGUGAUCUCACAGUCCAAACUACAGUAAACAGAAUGAGUUGGAUGGAGCGCACUGAUUUUGCAUUAACAUUCCUUUCUUUACUGACAGGCCUUCACUUUCCCUUUUCAUGCCAGAAUCAGUAUGGUGAAUUAUUUUCAUGACCUUCCUCGUUGUUUUAAAUAAAUAAAAGAUUAGCAUUUCAGCCACCCUGUUUACAUUAAACUACAAAUUCCAUAAGCCACAGUAGUGUUUGUGUUUUCAACUUUCAUGCGUUUUUUUAAUGGGUGCAUGAGUUCAUUUGUUUCAACUGCCCCAAAUAUUUUAAGAGUACUGCACUGUGGAGAAGUAUUUAUUUGAAGUAGCUGUGGAUAAUUUGCAAACUCUAUGAUAAUACAGUGGUCUUUAUUAAUGAAACAGAAAGGCUUUUAUUCUGUAGUCUCCCUGACACUGCAGGAAAUAAAAUCUCAGAGACCUAAGCUUUUAUUAGAGUGAUUUUAGUUUUGGAUUAUAUCUACUCCUUGGGUUGCAAAGCAUCUAAAAUAACGUGACUCAAAGGCAGUUUUACCUGUUUUCAUGCUAUCCGUGCAGUUACAAAAUACAGUGCUGGGGAAUAAAAGUUGUCUGAAUCUGAAAGCCUCACUAAACAAAACAUGAAAAAGGUAUAUGGUUAGAAAAGCACAAAGUAAAAGGAAUCUCACCUUCGGUUUUGGCAAAUGUUGAAAAUAAAUUUAUUUGGGAAAAUUUAAAAUACUUUGUGAUGCCAAAUAUAAGGUGUUCAUGCAAUAAGGCAAUUCCAUACUUUUUCAAUGAGAAAUCCACGUAAAGCUUUUUUUCCCUAUAACUUUGAAUAUUUAUGGAUGCAGGUGAGAUAGUCAAAUGUCUAUGUACAGUAUUUAAAAUAAUUGCUUAUGUAUAGUUAAAAUAUUGUAAAAUAAUGCAGCAAUUGUGAAUAUUGCUAUAUUCCACUCUAAUCUCAUAACAAUUUUUUUUUUUUCAGUUCUUCAUACAUAUACAUCUUGACCUCAGACUCCUGGUCAUCACUAGAGAAAGUUUUAAAGUUUUUAAACAAAAUUUUCCAGGAAUAUAAUUUUUAUAUUAAUU